AGACGGCAUUGUCUUGCUGUGUCUUCCUAUGGUGAAGAGCCAUGGAAGGUGAAUGACCAGUCUCGUCAUUUGGAACCUACCACAUAAACAGGCAAUGUUGAAUGGCAAAGAAAACAUCUCCGACAAGUGGCUUCAAUAGAGUUGGAACUGCUCACCUUGUACAAGCCAUCUGCUAACUGGGCAGCCAGGUUGGAUGCUAGACAGGAGACAGCCCCAGUGUGGAGAUGUCUGGGUGGACGACUGUCAGCAGGACUUCUGCCAAACAUGAGGGUCACUCUUCCCUCACAUGUGACAAGGACUUCAUUUCAUCCAAAGAGGCACCCUGGUGGGGGGGCAGUGAUAAUAGCUGCUUUUCACAAACUAUAGAUGAGAAAAACGUGACCAAGUCCACUUACUAAGGGACAAAGAGUGCAUUCCAAACCAUGUCUGCCUAAUUCAUUGAAAAUCCCAGCACUGAUUUGUAAUUAGCAAUGCAAUGAUGAACAACUAUUGAAUAAAAGAAUGAAUGACAGUUA
Molecule: non-coding RNA, 515 nt
Organism: Ictidomys tridecemlineatus (thirteen-lined ground squirrel)
Lineage: Eukaryota; Metazoa; Chordata; Mammalia; Rodentia; Sciuridae
Source: RefSeq, a predicted model, not a curated record